UCAGUUAGCAAACUUAAGAAAACAUGAGUUUCAUAUCUGAGAAACGCCAGAGAGAUUGAGCCAACCAGAUAGACAGACAUGGCCCUUUAGCCACACAUCAAACUCAAGAUAACUGCCACAGAGUACCAGUCGGUGGACGUCAUCUGGCCAAACCAAGCGAGACAACCUGCUGCCGUUGGCUUGGAGCUUUUACAGUCAGACUAGGCUACAUACCUGCAAGUCAGUCAUGGAGAUCAGUACGGCUCCCGUCCCGAUCACCCGCUCACUAGUCCCGAUGAUCCCAACUGCUCCAGAUCUACAGACCUCAACAAGGAUUUUACACAAUGACACCUCCAGUAACAUCACAGACACCACGGAGGACCCCAUGGUCGGUAUGGCUUCCGGUGCUGAAUCAGUGGACGCCAUUCUACUGGGAGUCUCUGUAAUAGCAGUUGUUGUGAUGAUACUGCUAAUUAUAAUAGUAGUUCUCCGCUUCAUGGCCCAUCAGAAAGGUACAUAUUACACCCAUGAGGAGGCUUUAGCAUUUAAGAGCGACCCUGAGGUGCAAGAGGUGACCGAAGAUCCGGAAGAUCCAGAAGAAGAGGAGCCUUAGUAUCUUCUGGCGGGAAGCCUUUUGGGACGUUUCCUGUGUGAAAUCACUAUGAGCGACAGAAGGAUCUGUCGUGGUUCCUCUUCCUUUUUGCUCUCCAAUCACAUAUGCCUUUUCCAACAGAUGUCCUUUUCUGACGGCUUCACACUCAACCACUCCAAAACUAAAAUAGAUUUCCAUGUGGAGAAGCACUUUUGUGCUAAUUAUUUUACUUUGUGUGUUAUAGAGUACUUCGAUUAUAUUACAAUUUUUUUAUAUAUACUGUAAACUUUUAGCCUUAUGAAUGAACACAUUAAUGUCUCCAUGUAGAAUCUUUUAUAUUAACAUACCAUGAAGUUCUUUGCAAAUAUUAAGUGUGUUUUUCAUAAAUUAUUUAAUUUACGCCAACUUUAGUGACUGGUUGACAUGUAUCUAUUUGUAGAAUCUUCUUUGCAAAGAUUAAGAUGCCAGAAUUGGCAGCCUGAAUCAAACACCUCCACUUGACUCAUUAUCCAGGCGGUUGUCAAAAGCUACUCUGAAGGUUGUCAUCAUGUAUGCCAGUUGUUUUGGAACAUCUGUAGUAACUCAAAAAAUAUUCACAGGUGGAAGAAGAGUGAGAGAGCCUUCGGCAAAUGUCCAUAUUUCACAUAGUGAAAAUUUUGACGUUUUUUUUACUCAGCCAUGUCAUUCCAAUUCCUCUCUUUUUCUGUGGAACACAACAUUAGACGUUCAGCAGAAUUUUCAUGCUGCUUGGUUCCAUAUAACAUGUAUAUAAAGUUCCAAAAAUGACAAUAAAAACAACAUGGAGAGAGUAAAUAAUGACAUAAAUAUACAGUUCAUACAUAUUCAUUUUUUUUUUAAAGAUUUGCAUUAAAUUGAUC
Sinocyclocheilus anshuiensis is the source of this 1449-nucleotide long non-coding RNA. The record is from Ensembl. NCBI's taxonomy places the organism in Eukaryota, Metazoa, Chordata, Actinopteri, Cypriniformes, Cyprinidae.